This 463-nucleotide ribosomal RNA is filed under the name uncultured bacterium. RNAcentral describes it as "bacterial SSU rRNA". It matches the Rfam family "Bacterial small subunit ribosomal RNA", at positions 28 to 507 of the family's 1533-position model. The record is from RNAcentral.
GACGAACGCUGGCGGUGUGCUUAACACAUGCAAGUCGAACGGAUCACAUGAUUUCGGUUGUGUGGUGAGUGGCGAACGGGUGAGUAACACGUGAGUAACCUGCCCCCUUCUCUGGGAUAACUGUUGGAAACGGCGGCUAAUACCGGAUAUUCACUUUCUCUCGCAGUGGGGGUUGGUGGAAAGUUUUUUCGGUGGGGGAUGGGCUCGCGGCCUAUCAGCUUGUUGGUGGGGUAGUGGCCUACCAAGGCUUUGACGGGUAGCCGGCCUGAGAGGGCGACCGGCCACACUGGGACUGAGAUACGGCCCAGACUCCUACGGGAGGCAGCAGUGGGGAAUAUUGCACAAUGGACGAAAGUCUGAUGCAGCAACGCCGCGUGCGGGAUGAAGGCCUUCGGGUUGUAAACCGCUUUCACCAGGGACGAAUGUGACGGUACCUGGAGAAGAAGCACCGGCUAACUACGUG